CGCUGCCGCAGCCUCCGCCGCUCCAGCCCCGGCUCGGCAGCGCGUCCCCUCCCCGCCUCGCCGCUCCGCUCGCGGGCUCGCGGGCUCCCUCGCUCUCUCCCUUCCCCCGCCGCUGCCGGCGCCGCGCCGAGCGGAGCCCGGCCGGCCACGGGCUGCCUCUCCCGAGGUCCCUUUCCCGAGGGGGGGAGGUGGUGGGGGCGCGGCGCAGGCGGGGCGGGGAGGAGAGGAGAGUCCGGGGGAGGCGGCAAGGCUGCGCCCUCGGCUCCCCUCCGAUCCCCGCGGGCCCAGCGGCCCCAGGCCGGGCCGGAGAGCGCCGAGCCGCCAGGCAGUGGAGGAAGAGAGGAGGAGGACCCGGAGUCUCGCCGCGGGAGGGUGCCCAGGGCGAGGGCGUGCGAGGGGGAGUGACUCCGCGCGCGAGGGGCAGCAGCACCUGCUUGAGACCAAGCCCGGCGACCUGGCAAGGUGGGGCCCCCUACCGCGCAAUCUUUGCGGCUGGCCCCCGGCUCUCAGCUCCGAGUGCAGAGGCUGAAGAGGUACCCGGGGGACACACUGCCUCUAACCCCACCUAUGAGCCGCUCUCCUCUCGGAGGACGAAGGCACCAUCAGAAGGUCGAGAUUCGCCCUCCUCUCCCGCCACGUCUACCCACUACCUAGACCGGGAGUCUGGACUUGGGAGCGUGAACUCUCACCCGAGCCGGUCCCCUUACAACUGGAGCCCGCCCAGCCCCUCAGUCCCUCCCUGAAGCCCAUGGGUCCCCACUGCUCCGUGCCUCGUCGACCCAGGAUGGGGAGUGGGAAGGUCAGCAUGUGCCCACAGGGCCAGGUGUCCGGCCCAGAUUCCCACCCUCAGGGCGGCGGCGCGCAAAGGGCGCAGUCCCCGCCGCUGGGCGGACCCGCGGCUCCGGCUUUCCCGGUGUCUCCAGCCUCGGUGCCCGGAAUCCUGGAUCUCGGCCUGGCGCUCCGGAAGCGAGGCAGCUCCGUGCCCCAGCAGGGACGGGGAACGCUUGGCUUGAGAGAUCACAUUUCUGGGUGUGGAGAGAAUGUCAAUCACAUAUCCAGAAUAUCACCUCCUUGGGCACAGCCAGGGCAUGGUCCAUUGAAAAUGUUCCUGAUUGCUGGAAGCUGACGGCUCACCAUAAAAGCCAAAAUGGGGACCUGUCAAAAAUGUUUUAGCCAAACUAUGGCUUGGCUCAGGAAGAUGCCAAGACCAAAGGCUGCUGAACUUUAAGUAUAAACUUGCAUGAAAAGCACAUUGCAGGUCUGAGACAGUGGAGGCUUAGUGGUGAGAACAUGAGCUCUGGAUAGACCUGGCUUCAAGUCUUGGCUCUGUCAUUCACCAGCUGUGUGAAUUUGGGCAAACCACUUUUCUUCUCUGAUGCUCAGUUCCCUCACCUAGCAAAAUGGGUUAUAAUGAUGGCAUCAACUCAUAAGGUUCAUGAGGACUGAGCUAGAUAAUGCAAACAACAUGUUUCAUAUACAAUAAUAAAUAAAAAUGUUGGCUGUUAUAAUAUUGUCACUGAGUCUACAUGUAUCUGAAACUAGCUCUUUUAAAUCCUGGGUACAGCUUUACAAGCAGUAUUGUGUAGUUUAGACAGAUCACCUGAGUUCUUUCUAUGUAAUUAUUGUUUCUACUGAACCUUGGUAAAUGUGUGAAAUCACAGAAGUUUGUCCCUAGACACUCCCCUCACCCCACUGGCUCCUCUCUCCAUUCUGUGCAACCCCAUUUCUGCAGCCUUGAGCUUCAGCCCAUUUCUCUCCAUUUCCUCCUCAUUAGCAAGAACUGAUAAAAUUAUUUGAACUGAUAUGUAAGUGACCAUCUCAUCCAGAGAUAUAGUAUUCACAUUUUAGUAGGUCAGAGCCUUAAGCCAAGGCAGUGAAAUAGAGUGGAUGGUACUUCAAGCAUUCAUCAAAGUAAUGGGGAAAGUUUGGGGUCCCAGGAGACUCUUCCCAAUUCCACAGAGUCCUGCCCAUUCAUAAAACUGGUACUAUUGAUGCAUUAUAAGCAACAAGGUGGUCCGUGUUUGAAUUCUGCAGCUGGAAAAUCAAGUCUCCAGCUUUUGCAAAAGUGUUGUAAUAGGGAAACUUGGACACUAAUUUUAUAUACCAACCUCUUCUUGGUAAAGAGACAUAGCUCAUGAGCACCAAGGCCUUUCCAGCAUUGCACAUCUAUGAUACUUAUACUCAAGUGCAUUUUUUUCUUCAGAGCUCAAGGCUAGAGUUGGGUGUUUUUGCCUCACUGGGUUUGUAGGAGACUCAGCUACAAAGUCAUUAAUUGCUUUGGUGAAUCAACAAGUAAAGAAAGACAGUCCAGCUAUUGUCCCCACACUGCAAAAUCAUAAGAGGCUUCUGGACUUCUCCACAAAAUCCUCAUUAAAGAUGAGUCCUCAUGGCUCUUACAGAAUUCUUUAUUAUGUCCUUUGUGCUGAGACUGCAAGGUAAAGAAAGAAAAAAGGGAAAUAACUAAAUUUGUUAUCAUGGAAAAUUUCAAACAUACAAAAGAUGAAAGAAUUGUAUAAUAUACCCCCAUGAACUUGUCAUUUAGCUUUGAAAGUUACCAACUCAUGGCCAAUCAUUUUUCAUCUGUACCCUACUCACACACUCCCCCACCAUAAUUUUGAAACAAAUUCCAAAUAUAAUUUCAUCUGUAAAUAUUUCUGUGAUUGCACCUUUGUUAUGGCCAACAAAAUCCAUCUUUCUAGAAGAGAAGUCAUUCUUCCCUCCCUCCAUGAUGCUAAGAACAUUUGGCCAGUACCUGCAUCCAUGCCCAGGAGUGGUCUCUGGGUUAGGCAAGCUUGAGGGUUUACUGAAUGUUAUCCAAAGUUUGUCCUUUUCCUUGGGUAGAAAAAGGAACCCAUAAAAUGUCUGGUAGAGGUGCCACUGUGUGCAAGCUUUUUUUUUUUUUUUUUUUUUUUUUUGUCAGCAGGGAUGAUGCUCAAUAGCUGUGAUGAGGUCCAAGCUGAGAGAAAAGAGUCAUGAUCAUGAAUCCCAACUGGAUUCAUCAUUUUCCACAUACUUUACUUCAUUUAGCUUUCACCAAUUCUCAUGUUAGUUCCAUUUUACAGAUAAGAAAACUAAGACCUAAGCUCACCCAGCUAGUAGUUACUUGUGGCAGAGACAGACUAGAUGCCAAUCAAAUUCAGUUCCUCUUUUCUGUAGAUACAGUUAGAUUACUUUCCCAGGUUCUCUUGCAGUUAGGUUUGGUCAUCUGACUAAGUUCUAGCCAAAGUAAUAUAGGCCAGUCCCAUGAAAAACAUCUAGGGCAAUUUAGCAUGUUCUUUCUUUCUCCAUCCACUGGCUGAAUGGAAAAAAUUUCAAGGGCUUAGAAGGGGACAGAGCCACAAGAAGGAAGGAACUUGGGUCCCUGGGUGACUAUGUGAAGUAGAGGUCCCUCCCAACUUCCUUUGAACUGUGAAAUACGCAAAAUAAAUAAAUAAAUAAAUUUUUAUUAUGUGAAA
This 3455-nucleotide long non-coding RNA is filed under the name Homo sapiens (human). RNAcentral describes it as "HSALNT0294678". Lineage: Eukaryota; Metazoa; Chordata; Mammalia; Primates; Hominidae. The record is from RNAcentral.